GACGAACCGUGCGAACGUUGUUCGGAAUCACUGGGCAUAAAGGGCGCGUAGGCGGGCUUUCAAGUCAGGGGUGAAAUCCUCCAGCUUAACUGGAGAACUGCCUUUGAUACUGGGAAUCUAGAGUAUGGUAGGGGCGUGCGGAACUGAUGGUGGAGCGGUGAAAUGUGUUGAUAUCAUCAGGAACUCCGGUGGCGAAAGCGGCACGCUGGACCAUUACUGACGCUGAGGCGCGAAAGCCAGGGGAGCAAACGGG
RNAcentral lists this ribosomal RNA (253 nucleotides) under uncultured bacterium. Its description in RNAcentral is "partial 16S ribosomal RNA". It matches the Rfam family "Bacterial small subunit ribosomal RNA", at positions 524 to 776 of the family's 1533-position model. The record is from RNAcentral.